CAUUUGGCAACGUGUUUGAGUGUUUUUAUCCUAUUAUAAAAAGGAGAUAAUUUAUAAUCGUGAAACAUCAUGACAUCUCCACCUAUUAAAUAUACGACCAACAGAGCCAUUGAUCAUUUCAAUGUUGCAGCUACACUCAUGAAAAUCAUCGGCUACGUCGACUGCAUUGAAGGCCUGAGAGAGUUGCCAAAGUCUCCAUCUAAGUGGAUUUACAAGUGCAUUUUAAAUAACAAUGAUGGCAGAAGGGUUCGCAUACUUUGCUCGGGGGAUGAUGCUCUCAAAUACAAGGAUGAGAUCAAGAUGUAUCAGAUAAUAAAAAUCACUGGAGGGAUUAUUAAAGCGGCCAAUCCACAGUAUCGGCGAUCAACGGACACUGUGAGCGACAAAGAAUUUCAAUUUGCACGUAGGAGCACUUUCGACAUCUUUGGCACAUUUAACAUUACGAAUGGAGCUGACAAUGGAAGGUCGAAGGUCAUCUCAUAUAAAAAAUUGAGAUGGAGAACGUUUGUGCUGCUCGCGGGCCAGUCCAGAUCACUGGAUGGCUCAAAGAGCCAUUCAGAAGCAUUACCACGUCCUGACUGAGGAUGUAGCCCUCAAUGAAGAUGAGUUGGAUGAUGCUGUCGAAGCACCUCCUCUCAUUCUCAAACGAGGGGCAGCUGAAUCUGCAUCUGGAGAGGCGAUGGACGUCGCGAAUAAGAAACUGAAAGCUGAAUAGCUUUAAUGACGUGCUAUUUACUCUGGAAGUUCAAUUGCAAAAUUGAAAAUUUUUUCUAUAACAAGUUCUAGACUGUUAUUUUUUCACACAAAAAUUGAGUUCUAUAACAAGUUUAACACUGUUAUUUUUUUACGCAAAAAUUUAAUUCUAUAACAAGUUUAAUACUGUUAUUUUUUUACACAAAAAUGAAACAUUGACAAGCUUGAGCUCUUUAAGAAUCUGAUUUUUUACUUUUAAAGACUGCCAACUUCAUAGCAGUAAGGUUAAUACUCAUUUAGCUUUAACAACCAAAACAGAUGGAAUUAUAAUAAUCUAUUCAUGAACAUUAGUAUUUAUUCAGAAUUUAUUUCAAUAUAUGGCCCUGUUUUUGAAGAAAAAGUAUUACUAAACAUUUGUAUUUUUUAUAUAUAACAGAGAAAACUGAAGACUAAUUAAUUUUAUGAUUAAAGUAGAUAAAGCUCUCCGGAAUCACAGAUAAGUGAUACAAAGGAUGUAUUCAUGUUAAUGUUUGUUCAUAUUUCUUAACAUAUGUUGUAAUGUCAAUUAUAAUUGUUGGAACAU
Diachasmimorpha longicaudata is the source of this 1276-nucleotide RNA transcript. RefSeq lists it as uncharacterized. The record is from RefSeq and is a predicted model, not a curated record. Lineage: Eukaryota; Metazoa; Arthropoda; Insecta; Hymenoptera; Braconidae. The transcript has 5 exons.